CGGGGGGGCGAAGCGUUGUUCGGAAUUACUGGGCGUAAAGGGCUCGUAGGUGGCCAACUAAGUCAGACGUGAAAUCCCCAGGCUCAACUUGGGAACUGCGUCUGAUACUGGAUGGCUUGAAUUCGGGAGAGGGAUGCAGAAUUCCAGGUGUAGCGGUGAAAUGCGUAGAUAUCUGGAGGAAUACCGGUGGCGAAGGCGGCAUCCUGGACCGAGAUUGACACUGAUGAGCGAAAGCCAGGGGAGCAAACGGGAUUAGAUACCCCGGUAGUCCUGGCCCUAAACGAUGAAUGCUUGGUGUGACGGGUAUCGAUCCCUGUCGUGCCGAAGCUAACGCAUUAAGCAUUCCGCCUGGGGAGUACGGUCGCAAGGCUG
RNAcentral lists this ribosomal RNA (372 nucleotides) under uncultured organism. RNAcentral's name for it is "bacterial SSU rRNA". It matches the Rfam family "Bacterial small subunit ribosomal RNA", at positions 526 to 896 of the family's 1533-position model. The record is from RNAcentral.